Molecule: long non-coding RNA, 372 nt
Filed under: Linum usitatissimum (flax)
Lineage: Eukaryota; Viridiplantae; Streptophyta; Magnoliopsida; Malpighiales; Linaceae
Description: long non-coding RNA (LUSI_LNC005402)
Source: RNAcentral
GCGACGUUCAGCCUAUGCCCCCACAAGAUUACAUCCGUUGGGAAGUUGAAGCUCUGCCAUUUGACUCUGCCGAUUGCGUCCACUAGAACCAGAUUCCCCGUCUCCAUAAUCACUAGCUUCUAGCAAAGUAAACCAGAUAAGUUAGUGAUCAGUGUGCUUUUCCUCAGGUUAUGUGUUUAGAAGUGAUUGCAAUUAGCGGUAAUUAGGCUUCAGGAAUUAGGGCUAAGUAAUGUUACCUCCACACCUUGUGCAGAAGUGCCAGAGCGCCACCCGAGUCGUCGGCCAUUUUCAUCCUUGAGCUGCAAUUCACCGUCUUGAGCGAGCUCAAUCACGCAUUGGUCCGUGGUGAAGAACGGGGAGUAAUGUCCAGAG